AGUCGAGGGGUAUAGGUUUUCGGACCUAGAGACCGGCGCACGGGUGCGCAACGCGUAUGCAAUCUACCUUUUACAGAGGGAUAGCCCAGAGAAAUUUGGAUUAAUACCUCAUAGUAUUAUGACUCGGCAUCGAGAUAUAAUUAAAGUCACAACGGUAAAAGAUGAGCAUGCGUCCCAUUAGCUUGUUGGUAAGGUAACGGCUUACCAAGGCAACGAUGGGUAGGGGUCCUGAGAGGGAGAUCCCCCACACUGGUACUGAGACACGGACCAGACUCCUACGGGAGGCAGCAGUGAGGAAUAUUGGUCAAUGGGCGCAAGCCUGAACCAGCCAUGCCGCGUGCAGGAUGAAGCAUCUAUGGUGUGUAAACUGCUUUUGUACGAGAAGAAACACUCCUACGUGUAGGAGCUUGACGGUAUCGUAAGAAUAAGGACCGGCUAACUCCGUGCCAGCAGCCGCGGUAAUACGGAGGGUCCAAGCGUUAUCCGGAAUCAUUGGGUUUAAAGGGUCCGUAGGCGGUUUUGUAAGUCAGUGGUGAAAGCCCAUCGCUCAACGGUGGAACGGCCAUUGAUACUGCAAGACUUGAAUUAUUAGGAAGUAACUAGAAUAUGUAGUGUAGCGGUGAAAUGCUUAGAGAUUACAUGGAAUACCAAUUGCGAAGGCAGGUUACUACUAAUGGAUUGACGCUGAUGGACGAAAGCGUGGGGAGCGAACAGGAUUAGAUACCCUGGUAGUC
RNAcentral lists this ribosomal RNA (734 nucleotides) under uncultured bacterium. Its description in RNAcentral is "bacterial SSU rRNA". It matches the Rfam family "Bacterial small subunit ribosomal RNA", at positions 60 to 795 of the family's 1533-position model. The record is from RNAcentral.